Molecule: ribosomal RNA, 109 nt
Filed under: Ailuropoda melanoleuca (giant panda)
Lineage: Eukaryota; Metazoa; Chordata; Mammalia; Carnivora; Ursidae
Source: RNAcentral
GUCUACGGCCAUACCACCCUGAACGCGCCCGAUCUCUUCUGAUCUCGGAAGCUAAGCAGGGUCGGGCCUGGUUAGUACUUGGAUGGGAGUUUGCUAAGUGCUUUACAGA